This 247-nucleotide ribosomal RNA is filed under the name uncultured bacterium. RNAcentral's name for it is "partial 16S ribosomal RNA". It matches the Rfam family "Bacterial small subunit ribosomal RNA", at positions 57 to 305 of the family's 1533-position model. The record is from RNAcentral.
GCAAGUCGAACGCGAAAGUUACUUCGGUAACAAGUAGAGUGGCGGACGGGUGAGUAACGCGUAGGAAUCUACCUAGAUGUGGGGGAUAACAUGGAGAAAUCCAUGCUAAUACCGCAUACGCCCCACGGGGCAAAGAGGGCCUCUUCUUGAAAGCUCUUGCAUUUAGAUGAGCCUGCGUCGGAUUAGCUUGUUGGCGGGGUAAUGGCCCACCAAGGCGACGAUCCGUAGCUGGUCUGAGAGGAUGAUC